This 1284-nucleotide long non-coding RNA is filed under the name Homo sapiens (human). RNAcentral's name for it is "non-protein coding LINC01647:6". The record is from RNAcentral. Lineage: Eukaryota; Metazoa; Chordata; Mammalia; Primates; Hominidae.
CACUGUGGAAGCUUUGUUCUUUUGCUCUUUGUAAUAAAUCUUGCUACUGCUUACUUUUUGGGUCCACACUGGUUUUAUGAGCUGUAACACUCACCACGAAGGUCUGCAGGUUCACUCCUGAGCCAGCGAGACCACGAGCCCACCGGGAGGAACGAACAACUCCAGACGUGCUGCCUUAAGAGCUGUAACACUCACCGUGAAGGUCUGCAGCUUCACUCCUGAACCAGCGAGGCCACGAACCCACCAGAAGGAAGAAACUCCGAACACAUCUGAACAUCAGAAGGAACAAACUCCAGACGCGCCACCUUAAGAGCUGUAACAUUCACCGCAAGGGUCCGCGGCUUCAUUCUUGAAGUCAGUGAGACCAAAAACCCACCAGUUGCGGACACAGUUGUUGUCACAGCCCGGCCUGCCCCAACCUGCCUCAGAGGAAGCAUCGGAGACACUCCACCAGCUUCUCCCAUGGCUUCCCUCAUCCUGGGGCCAAGGCAGCAUCUGGUACAGAGCUGAGGCAGGGGAGAGAUAUCCUUGGAGCCAACAUCCAUGUGUUUAACCUGGAUCCUCUGUGCCUGAGCAACUCAGGCUUCUUCCAUGUGGCAGGGGCGGGGUGAGGCCACAGACAGCUCCAGCUCACAUCAACCCAGCUAAUGGCUUCACAGGAAAGAGGGAAGCAAAAUCCCAGAGAAGUCUGAUUGGCCCGGCCUGGAUCUCAUGGCUGUGGGCAAUGGAAAAGCUGAGGGAACUGGAGAACAGCUGCUGUCCUCUCCCUGCGCACAUCUGUUCUGCCUCAUGCCAAAGGGAGACAAUGGCUAAAGGGGGCCUGUACUGGUCAGGCCCUGCAGAGAAACAGAACACACAGGUUGUGUAUGCAUGUAUAGGUAGGUAGGGAGACAGAGAGUGGGGAGAGAGAGAGGUUCGAGAAAUUGGCUCAUGUGAUUACAGAGGCUGGCAAGUCCAAAAUUUGCAGGGUGGGUGAUACGGUUUGGCUGUGUCCCCCCACCAAAUCUCAUCUUGAAUUGUAGCUCCUGUAAUUCCCACAUGUCAUGGGAGGGACCCCAUGGGAGGUAAUUGACUCAUGGGGCUGAGUCUUUCCCAUGCUGUUCUCAUGAUAGUGAAUAAGUCUCAGGAGAUCUGAUGGUUUUAUAAAAGGGAGUUCCCUGCCCAAGCUCCCUCUUGCCUGCUGCCAUGGAAGACGUGCCUUUGCUCCUUUGCCUUCCACCGUGAUUGUGAGGCCUCCCCAGCCUCGUGGAACUGUCAGUCCAUUAAACCUCUUUUUCUUUAUAA